This 253-nucleotide ribosomal RNA is filed under the name uncultured bacterium. RNAcentral describes it as "partial 16S ribosomal RNA". It matches the Rfam family "Bacterial small subunit ribosomal RNA", at positions 524 to 776 of the family's 1533-position model. The record is from RNAcentral.
CACGUAGGGCGCAAGCGUUGUCCGGAAUUAUUGGGCGUAAAGAGCUCGUAGGCGGUCUGUUGCGUCCGCUGUGAAAUCUCGGGGCUUAACCCCGAGCCUGCAGUGGAUACGGGCAGACUAGAGGUAGGUAGGGGAGAAUGGAAUUCCCGGUGUAGCGGUGAAAUGCGCAGAUAUCGGGAAGAACACCCGUGGCGAAGGCGGGUCUCUGGGCCGAUACUGACGCUGAGGAGCGAAAGCGUGGGGAGCGAACAGG